UAGUCCACGCCGUAAACGAUGAUAACUGGUUGUUUGUUCGAAUGAGAGCAAGUGACUGAGCGAAAGUAUUAAGUUAUCCACCUGGGGAGUACGUUCGCAAGAAUGAAACUCAAAGGAAUUGACGGGGGCCCGCACAAGCGGAGGAACAUGUGGUUUAAUUCGAUGAUACGCGAGGAACCUUACCUGGACUUAAAUGUAGAUUGCAUAGAUUGGAGACAGUCUUUUCUUCGGACUAUUUACAAGGUGCUGCAUGGUUGUCGUCAGCUCGUGCCGUGAGGUGUCGGGUUAAGUCCCAUAACGAGCGCAACCCCUACCGUUAGUUGCUAACAGGUCAAGCUGAGGACUCUAACGGGACUGCCGGUGCAAACCGCGAGGAAGGUGGGGAUGACGUCAAAUCAGCACGGGCCCUUACGUCCAGGGGCUACACACGUGUUACAAUGGCCGGUACAGAGGGGCAGCUACCUAGCAAUAGGAUGCGAAUCUCGAAAGCCGGGUCUCAGUUCGGGAUUGGGAGUCUGCAAC
This 522-nucleotide ribosomal RNA is filed under the name uncultured bacterium. Its description in RNAcentral is "bacterial SSU rRNA". It matches the Rfam family "Bacterial small subunit ribosomal RNA", at positions 791 to 1311 of the family's 1533-position model. The record is from RNAcentral.